ACGAACGAAAGCAAUGGACGAACACAGCGAGAGGGGAUAACACGAAGGCUCGCAGGCGCGAUUUCGUCAAUCCAUCGCGAGAAGGUUCAUCUCCGGGGUUUGACGAGGCGAAGAAAGAAGAUGGGGAGAAGCAGCGAGGCUGCUUUCACCCUCGUCUGGCUUUGAGAUGCGAAGGAGGGAAGGGUCCGAUGGGGGUCGGUGAGGUAUCGCGUGCAGCAGCUGUGACGAAGACGAGGUCCUCGUAGGUCGUUCGUCGGUGGGAAGAAAAGAGAGCGAGCGAGGCGCGAAAACGGAAAGCGAUUUCGGGGUUUUCAGAUCGAGGGUUUUGUGUGGCUAAGGGGUUGCGAAGGAAAAGAGAAACAGAAGCAGCGGUGCUGCUGGUGGUCUCUGUGGGUGCAACGAGGGCUGCUCAAGCAGCUGCUCUGCUGCUUUCUUCAUUUCCGAUGGUUGCAGGUUUUUAUCAUAAUCGCAGCAAGGCGUCGGCUUGAUUGUACACACUAGAGAAGGAGCUAUAUUUUGAGGGUCUUGGAUUGUUAACUGAAUAAUUAUGGAGUUAUAUUUGGUAAUUUAAAUAAAUGGGAUUUUUGUAAAAGGCGUUGUGAAAAAUUAUGUGAAUUUAAAUGAAAAUUUUGUUUGAAAAAUUUACGGUGUUACACCAGCGAGGUGUUGCGAGCAACAGUAGUGAUGAAGAUGAGGUCCUCGUAGGUCGUUCGUUGGUGGGAAGAAAUGAGAGAGAGGGAGAGAGGCGAAAAAGGAAAGUGAUUCUGGGGUUUCUAGAUCGGGGAUUUUAUGUGGCUAAGGGGUUGCGAAGGAAAAGGGAAACAGAAGCAGCGGUGCUGCUGGUGGUUUCGAUGGGUGCAACAAGGGCUGCUUAAGCAGCCCCUCGGGUAUUAUUUUUUAGUUCUGAUGGUUGCAGAAAUCAAUGGAGGAAAAAAAAUGGUUUUUGGGUUUGAUCUUUGACAAGAGAAGGAGAAGGAAGAAAAAUGGAGGUUUGAUGUCCCAUUGAUUUGACUGAUUUCACAAGAACAGCACCUCCAAUGGAGGUUUUCUUGACUGCUACGAAAACCAAAGGAAACAAAGACGAGAGGGAAAUAGAAGGUAUGAGGGGACUAUUCCUAACAACUUCAAUCUAUAAUUUCUUUUUGUAUAAACUUAGGUAAAUUGAAAUGUGGAAGUAAUUUCCAAUUUGGCAGUACAUUGGUUUUAACUUGUAAGCAUUGUAUUGAUUUAAUUUGAAUAUAUUUGGUACUUUGUAUAUUAUUUGGCAUUUGAGUGGGUAAUUGAUGCACA
Lactuca sativa (garden lettuce) is the source of this 1290-nucleotide non-coding RNA. The record is from RefSeq and is a predicted model, not a curated record. Lineage: Eukaryota; Viridiplantae; Streptophyta; Magnoliopsida; Asterales; Asteraceae.